This 296-nucleotide long non-coding RNA is filed under the name Eucalyptus grandis. RNAcentral describes it as "long non-coding RNA (EGRA_LNC004908)". Lineage: Eukaryota; Viridiplantae; Streptophyta; Magnoliopsida; Myrtales; Myrtaceae. The record is from RNAcentral.
GAAGAAGGAGCGCCACACCACCGCCGCCGCCACCGCCACCACCACUGCUACCACCAUAGUGACCGAGAAGGAGAAGCACCGCCACCCGGAAGAUGAGUUGAAGAAGCGGAAGCCAGAAGAAGUGGUGGGGAUAUACUUUCGCGUCGAGGGACUUUGCUCGAGGAGGACUGGUUUCUACUCAUCGUCGCGGGCUUGCCGUUGCUCAUGGCCUCAUCUCUGCUCCCUCGCCCUUGCCUCUAGUCUCCACCCUCCAUCGUCUUUCGGACACGCGUGUUGAAAUGUGUCGACAAAAGUUU